Molecule: non-coding RNA, 519 nt
Organism: Pelobates cultripes (western spadefoot toad)
Lineage: Eukaryota; Metazoa; Chordata; Amphibia; Anura; Pelobatidae
Source: the annotation of a GenBank genome assembly
UUUAGGAAGACGCUAAACAGCUUUUUCUUAACUUGAAAGGAUAUUCAAACACAUUCUGAGAAAAUGGAUCUACUCAUGAUCACAUGUGUCUUAGCAUCGAUAUCCUGUAUGUAUUUUUUGAUACUCUCUACACCCUUUUAAUUAAAUCAUAUUGCUUAUUGUGACACAUUAUUAAAUCAAAUAUAUUUUUUCACAGAUGUUGACUCUCAGCCUCCGCUGCUAACACCAACUACUCUUUCAGUGAAUAAAGAACAAAUUACAACAUUUAACUGUGAUGUUGGAAUUAAAGAUGGUUAUGUUACAGCUUUCUAUCGACAGUCACCAGGAGAGGCUCCACAGCUUUUGCUAUAUCAUCACCAUUCAUACACAGAACCUAAAUUUGGACCUGGAAUGUCAUCAGCACAUUAUGGCUGCACUAUAAACAGUGCUGGGACACAGUAUCAACUGAUUAUCAAAAACACAGACACCUCGGAUACUGGUUUUAUUUAUUGUUUUAAAUAUUAUGCGAAUGCAGGAUAC